GCUUGUCUUCCAAACACUCCUCAGACCAGCGUGUCUACCAAACCCUCCUCAGACCAGCGUGUCUACCAAACCCUCCUGAGACCAACGUGUCUACCAAACCUCCUCAGACCAGCGUGUCUACCAAACCCUCCUCAGACCAGCGUGUCUACCAAACCUCUUCAGACCACCGUGUCUACCAAACCCUCCUCAGACCAGUGUGUCUACCAAACCUCUUCAGACCAGCGUGUCUACCAAACCCUCUUCAGACCACGUGUCUACCAAACCUCUUCAGACCAGCGUGUCUACCAAACCCUCCUCAGACCAGCGUGUCUACCAAACCUCUUCAGACCAGCGUGUCUACCAAACCCUCCUCAGACCAGUGUGUCUACCAAACCCUCCUCAGACCAGCGUGUCUACCAAACCUCUUCAGACCAGCGUGUCUACCAAACCCUCCUCAGACCAGCGUGUCUACCAAACCCUCCUCAGACCAGUGUGUCUACCAAACCCGCCUCAGAUCAGCGUGUCUUCCGAACACUCCUCAGACCAGCGUGUCUUUCAAACCUUCCUCAGACCAGUGUGUCUACCAAACCCGCCUCAGACCAGCGUGUCUUCCAAACACUCCUCAGACCAGCGUGUCUUUCAAACCCUCCUCAGACCAGUGUGUCUACCAAACCCUCCUCAGACCAGCGUGUCUACCAAACCCUCCUCAGACCAGCGUGUCUACCAAACCCGCCUCAGACCAGCGUGUCUUCCGAACACUCCUCAGACCAGCGUGUCUACCAAACCCGCCUCAGACCAGCGUGUCUACCAAACCCGCCUCAGACCAGCUUGUCUACCAAACCCUCCUCAGACCAGCGUGUCUACCAAACCCGCCUCAGACCAGCGUG
Molecule: long non-coding RNA, 866 nt
Filed under: Carassius auratus (goldfish)
Lineage: Eukaryota; Metazoa; Chordata; Actinopteri; Cypriniformes; Cyprinidae
Description: lncRNA (ENSCARG00000038337.1)
Source: RNAcentral